UAUGUAUAUGAUGACAAAAAAGACAACGACAUCAACACUCCAACUGAGAAUGUUGAUUUAGUCUAAUGGGAAUCUCUAUUAUGCGUU
This is a non-coding RNA of Cicer arietinum (chickpea), 87 nucleotides long. The record is from Rfam. NCBI's taxonomy places the organism in Eukaryota, Viridiplantae, Streptophyta, Magnoliopsida, Fabales, Fabaceae.